UACGGUGGCUUUGCCCCCCUCUUUACUCUUCAGUGUACCCUUGACGUACAUCUCUGCGGCAUCGACCACAAAGACGGCUGAUUUGGCAUCAAAAGAGGCACUAAAAUUGGACGUGGAGAAGUGCUCUGAUCCCACUGGUGUUUAAUUUCAAGCAAACUGCAGUGUUCAGUGGAAAAAGCUUCCUGACACCUCUAAGUGCAAUGCUGUGUGACAUCUUCACAAUGCCCAUUUCUGACAUCUCAAAUUUGGUUAAUGUGACACUCCCAAACCUGGCUUUUGCACUGAAGCAGACAGAGAGGUUGCAAAGCAGCUGAACAGGAGGUGGUUGAUGCCAGUAAGGGUGUGGCACUACACACUCAGAUGACUUUGCCCCACCUUUCCAACAUCUCUACUCUUGGCUCUCAGCUUGUUGACCUGGGAUUCAGCAAUGUCAGCACGCUCCUGAGCUUCUUCCAUCUCAUGCUGGACUUUCCUGUACCUGGACAG
Long non-coding RNA from Silurus meridionalis, 486 nucleotides. RefSeq lists it as uncharacterized. Lineage: Eukaryota; Metazoa; Chordata; Actinopteri; Siluriformes; Siluridae. The record is from RefSeq and is a predicted model, not a curated record. The transcript has 5 exons.